This 253-nucleotide ribosomal RNA is filed under the name uncultured bacterium. RNAcentral describes it as "partial 16S ribosomal RNA". It matches the Rfam family "Bacterial small subunit ribosomal RNA", at positions 524 to 776 of the family's 1533-position model. The record is from RNAcentral.
UACGUAGGGGGCUAGCGUUGUCCGGAAUCAUUGGGCGUAAAGCGCGUGUAGGCGGCCCGGUAAGUCCGCUGUGAAAGUCGGGGGCUCAACCCUCGGAUGCCGGUGGAUACUGUCGGGCUCGAGUGCGGAAGAGGCGAGUGGAAUUCCUGGUGUAGCGGUGAAAUGCGCAGAUAUCAGGAGGAACACCAAUUGCGAAGGCAGCUCGCUGGGACGUUACUGACGCUGAGACGCGAAAGCGUGGGGAGCAAACAGG